UAUUGGACAAUGGGCGAAAGCCUGAUCCAGCAAUGCCGCGUGAGUGAUGAAGGCCUUAGGGUUGUAAAGCUCUUUUACCAGGGAUGAUAAUGACAGUACCUGGAGAAUAAGCUCCGGCUAACUCCGUGCCAGCAGCCGCGGUAAUACGGAGGGAGCUAGCGUUGUUCGGAAUUACUGGGCGUAAAGCGUGCGUAGGCGGUGACUCAAGUCAGAGGUGAAAGCCUGGAGCUCAACUCCAGAACUGCCUUUGAAACUAGGUCGCUAGAAUCUGGGAGAGGUGAGUGGAAUUCCGAGUGUAGAGGUGAAAUUCGUAGAUAUUCGGAAGAACACCAGUGGCGAAGGCGGCUCACUGACCAGAAUUGACGCUGAGGCACGAAA
RNAcentral lists this ribosomal RNA (378 nucleotides) under uncultured bacterium. Its description in RNAcentral is "bacterial SSU rRNA". It matches the Rfam family "Bacterial small subunit ribosomal RNA", at positions 362 to 758 of the family's 1533-position model. The record is from RNAcentral.